Molecule: ribosomal RNA, 216 nt
Filed under: Glomeromycotina sp.
Lineage: Eukaryota; Fungi; Glomeromycota
Description: partial small subunit ribosomal RNA
Rfam family: Eukaryotic small subunit ribosomal RNA (bases 44-216)
Source: RNAcentral
GGGUCAGUAGGUUGGUCGUGCCACCGGUACGUACUGGUCUCACUGAUUCCUCCUUCCUGAAGAACCGUAAUGCCAUUAAUUUGGUGUUGCGGGGAAACAGGACUGUUACUUUGAAAAAAUUAGAGUGUUUAAAGCAAGCUAACGCUCGAAUACAUUAGCAUGGAAUAAUGAAAUAGGACGAUCGAUCCCAUUUUGUUGGUUUCUAGGAUUGACGUA